Non-coding RNA from Merluccius polli (Benguela hake), 66 nucleotides. NCBI's taxonomy places the organism in Eukaryota, Metazoa, Chordata, Actinopteri, Gadiformes, Merlucciidae. The record is from the annotation of a GenBank genome assembly.
UAGCUCAGUCCAUAGAGACUUGGCUUGGGAACCAGAGGGCUGCUGGUUCAAGUCCAGCACGCACCA